RNAcentral lists this non-coding RNA (31 nucleotides) under Mus musculus (house mouse). The record is from RNAcentral. Lineage: Eukaryota; Metazoa; Chordata; Mammalia; Rodentia; Muridae.
UCAAUAAAUAGAGGCUAGCAUAUGCCAGGAU